Molecule: ribosomal RNA, 451 nt
Filed under: uncultured bacterium
Lineage: Bacteria
Description: bacterial SSU rRNA
Rfam family: Bacterial small subunit ribosomal RNA
Source: RNAcentral
AAUCAACGCUGGCGGCGUGCCUCAGACAUGCAAGUCGAACGAUUAAAGCUCUCUUCGGAGAGUGCAUAAAGUGGCGCACGGGUGAGUAACACGUAAGUAAUCUACCUUCGAGUGGGGAAUAACGUCCGGAAACGGACGCUAAUACCGCAUAAUGCAGCGGCAUCGCAAGAUGACAGUUGUUAAAGGAGCAAUUCGCUUGAAGAGGAGCUUGCGGCAGAUUAGCUAGUUGGUAAGGUAACGGCUUACCAAGGCUACGAUCUGUAACCGGUCUAAGAGGACGGUCGGUCACACUGACACUGAAUAACGGGUCAGACUCCUACGGGAGGCAGCAGUCGGGAAUUUUGGGCAAUGGGCGAAAGCCUGACCCAGCAACGCCGCGUGAAGGAUGAAGUAUUUCGGUAUGUAAACUUCGAAAGAAUAGAAGAAUCAAUGACGGUACUAUUUAUAAGGU